Molecule: ribosomal RNA, 112 nt
Organism: Echinicola vietnamensis DSM 17526
Lineage: Bacteria; Pseudomonadati; Bacteroidota; Cytophagia; Cytophagales; Cyclobacteriaceae
Source: Rfam
UAGGGUGGUACGGCACGGGGGAUCCACCUCUUCCCAUCCCGAACAGAGAAGUUAAGCCCUGUCGCGCCGAUGGUACUGGGGUUACACCCGGGAGAGUAGGUCGCCGCCCGCU